UGGCGAACGGGUGAGUAACACGUGGGUGAUCUGCCCUGCACUUCGGGAUAAGCUUGGGAAACUGGGUCUAAUACCGGAUAGGAACCAUCUUUAGUGUGGUGGUUGGAAAGUUUUUCGGUGUAGGAUGAGCUCGCGGCCUAUCAGCUUGUUGGUGGGGUAAUGGCCUACCAAGGCGGCGACGGGUAGCCGGACUGAGAGGUUGGUCGGCCACAUUGGGACUGAGAUACGGCCCAG
This 234-nucleotide ribosomal RNA is filed under the name uncultured Corynebacterium sp. RNAcentral describes it as "partial 16S ribosomal RNA". It matches the Rfam family "Bacterial small subunit ribosomal RNA", at positions 96 to 334 of the family's 1533-position model. Lineage: Bacteria; Bacillati; Actinomycetota; Actinomycetes; Mycobacteriales; Corynebacteriaceae. The record is from RNAcentral.